Rosa rugosa (rugosa rose) is the source of this 3692-nucleotide RNA transcript. RefSeq lists it as uncharacterized. The transcript is spliced from 8 exons. The record is from RefSeq and is a predicted model, not a curated record. Lineage: Eukaryota; Viridiplantae; Streptophyta; Magnoliopsida; Rosales; Rosaceae.
GCAAACAGCAUUAUAUACGCAGCACCAAAUUUAUUAUUAUUUUUUUUUUAUCUCAACAGAAGGUCCGAUUAGCCGGAAUUUGGGAAUUCCGAUUCACGUCGGGGGCAGAAAUCAGUUCGAGUUCAGGCUAGGGUUUUCGUUCCCAAUUGGGGAUUCAAUACAACGUAAUUCUGAAAUUCGGACAUCAAUUUCAUAGACUCCCGAACUAGAAGUCUGGAACCCCAAGUCUACGAGACUACGACCUGUUUCGCCGAAUGCGUCCUUCACUCCUUCUCAGUCUCUCGCCUUCUCCACUUCUCCCAGAGAUCAGUUUAGCAGUGGAUUGAAGAUUUCGUGGUCAAAUUCAAUUGCGGUCAAAUUUGUAGCUCUGGUAAUCUGGUAUCAGUAUGCUACUCCUCUCACUCUCCUUGUUCUGUAAUUUAUUGUGUUCUUACUGCUUCAUUUAGUUCCUUCUUAUCUAUAAUGAAUGAAAUAAACUGGUUUGUGAUGUGGGUUUAAUUGACGGAAGUCAUGGAACUGUCAAGGUCAGUAGGUCGCGAGUCGCGACAAUGGGUUUAAUUGAUGGAACUUUUUGAGUUCUUUCUGUUUAUUUAAUUGUGAUUGGCACUAUGAACUGGAACACAAAGUGAAUGGCAAAAGCUAUAGCUAGCUUAGGCCUUAGGAGGCUGAAGACUGAGCUAGCUCCUUUAAUUUACUUGAGCCGAUUAUGUUUCUGAAGCCACAAUAUAGUUUCUUUUCUAUAAAUGUUUCUGUGAUUAUACUUAAAUGUUAUUAUAUAAUGUUUGUUUUCUAUAUUUGUUUAUGUGAUUAUACUUAAAUUAUCUCAAAUGUUAUAGGCAUGGUUCAAAGGCUCAACCUGGAUUCCAAUAUUUGAUGUUGAUGACAAAACAUGCUUGACAGAAGUUCUGUUCAAUUUGGUAUUUUGAUCAAGUUUUAGUUAGGGUUUUGUUGGAAAUAGGGGAAGGAUGUCGGCGGCGGCGGAGGAGUCAAGUGAGGCAGGCACCAUGGGCGAAGAGGUUUUGAAGCUCAAAGAGAAGCUUUCUCAAUGCCAACUCGAAAUGGAGCGGCUCCUGACAGAGAAAAAGAGAUGGAAGAUCAAGAAGAAACUUCUCAUGCGGGGUAUAGAAAAACUAGAAGACAAGAUUAGUAAAGAACGAGAAGUGUUUCUGUCUGUAGGAUCAGAAAAUUGUGAGAGACAGAUUACACUCUACAAGAACUUGGAGACUACGAACAACAGUAUGCGGCAGCUAGGGGACGAAUUGUCCAAAGUAGAUGACGAAUUGGCCAAACUAGACGAGGAACAGUACAAGUUUUUUGAUAGUGAAAGGCCUUGUGUGGGAACAGAAGUGGAGAAGAAAAGAAGGUGGUCACAAUCAAAGACAGAGAAGCUGGAUAAGCUAUACUCAGAGAUGAAUAAGAAACGGGACGAUUUAUUAGCUUUUCUUGAAGCUCGUACAAAAAAUGCAGAAAUCACCGAUGAUGUGAAGGCUCUGGUGAGAGACUACUAUACUCAAUAUAUUGAGACACUCAAGACUGAUGAGGACGAGUAUGCACUGAAAACAAAGAUUAUGGAUAUUAUUCUACCACCGGGUUCUUCUCAGAAGCAAAUUGGGAUGUUUGCCAGGGUUGAUUCUAUAUCUCCAAUCUCUGCUGGGAUUUCAAAGAUUUUGAACUUUCUAAGAAAAUAUUUAACGAUGCGAAGGAUAAACAUCCUAUAGGAGGAAGAGACGAGAACGGAGAAAGAAAGUACCACUUGUCUGGAGACCUGGCUAAUUAAUGCUCAAUAGGAAAUAAACUUUGGAACUUUAUCAUCACAUAACAAGUUGAGGAUCUGUUAGCUGUUUGACUUUUGAUGGAAGAGAAGACAUGGAGGACAUUACUUCCUCAUAAUAAUCAAAUUUAGGAUUUUCAGUUUGUUUACCCUCAUUUUACAUAGAAGUAUUGCAGUUGGAGGGAUUGGUGUCUCUGUUUAGCCUUGUGGUUCUUAUUUGUGCGGGCUAAGUUCAAUUACAUCGAAGGAUAGUCUUCUGGUUCUAACACUGGAACCACAUUGUUUAAAUUACAUGCUCCCUCUUAUUUAAUCUUGUUAUGAAUUUUCUAUGUUAAUAGCACAUGUUCAGGAGUUGGUUAUUUCUUGGUAAUUGCGGUUACUGAGGGACAAGUUUGCUCUUCGAGGUGGAAAAGGUACCAUGUAUCUCGGAUUUCGAAUUAUAUCUUGCUUUCAGGUAACGGAUUACCAUCUUGCUUUCAGAUAAUAAUUGUAUGGAAAUUUCGAGGUCCCCAUGUGGACUUGAGUUAUAGGGAGUGUAUUCCAUGCACGUAUGUGCAACUACACUGACCAUGUGAUAGUCACGUGGAUAAAAAAUAGGGUUCCGUUACUACUAAAGGCGCAAUCAUGAUCCCCUGCACUACUAGAAAACUUGUCUUUUACGACGCGCAAAUUACGGCGUGCAUAUCGUGUGCGCCGUAAAAGACGGUCAUUUACGGCAUGUUUUUUUGUGCGCCGUAAAAGACGUCCAUUUUUUGUCUUUUACAGCGUGCUUUUCAUGUGCGCCGUAAAUGACAUAUUACAUUUACGACAUACUUUUUUUGUGCGCUGUAAAAGACUAAUUUUUUAUCUUUUACGGCGUGCUUUUCACGUGUGCCGUAAAUGAUGUGUUUCUUAACAAUCCCGCUCAGCCAUUUUUAGCUAAAUUCUAAUUUCCCACCAAACCUUUUUACUCUGACAUUUUUUUUUUAAAAGAUAAAAACUCAGGCCAAACCCGGAUCUCUUCAGACUCUCCAUCUCUCGUCUCGUUUCCUCUUCUUCUCUUCAUCCUCGCUCGAUGCCAUCCCAUCGAUCUAAAGGCCGAAGCCAAUAAUCCUGUCAUUAGGUGAGUGAAUAUGUCUCUCCCAAAUUCAGUUGGGGUCUCUCUCUCUCUUCUUUGCUAUGCGCGGCCCUUCGAGGCUUCCAACGCCAGACGUGUAUGCAUCAAUUGCUUCUCUCUCCGUCCUCUCUCAGGGGUUGAAGUAGUUUUUGCAAUAGAGAAAGCUGCGGUGGAGAUAUGACUUCUGUUCGCUGACGGUGCUCUCGGGCCGUCUAUCAAACUCAACUCGGGGCUGGAUUAUUACAUAGAUGUUGAUUAUCAAGUGGGUGAUGGCUUCUCUUUCAGUGGAGGUGUCUAUUCUCUUUUCCACUACCUCUUUUAUUUGCUAAAUGGCCUUUCCAAGUUUUUCAGUACUAGUAACUGAGGAAGUGGGUAAGUUUUUGACAGGAAAGUAUUCAUAUGGACCAAGCCCUUCUGAUGAAUGGUUCAAGCAGGGGAAGAUAGUGCUUAUAUUUCUCUUGGUUCUGGUGAGAAGGUCCGAUCUUGGACUUGCAAUGGGUGCUGAUUCUCAGGCAGCUGCUGAUGUUUUUAGAGCAUUGUCAAUCAUGGGGUUGAAAAGCCAGCUAUCCAGUGAUGAUGAACUUCUGGUUGUUCGUCUUUGGAAGGGUCUUCAAUGCUAUUGCUAUAGUGAUUCAAGAUUUUGAUCUAGGAUGCUCUUUGUUAAUCUAGAAUGUUUUACAUUUUAGGACGGUAAUGAUAAAUUGUUGGUUUAAUUAAGUUGUUUUUAUACAAUAUUGUUGUUGGCAUAUUAAUUCACAUUUUGUAAUGUGAUAUUGCAGUUUGUUAUCUCGCUUUUCAUCUCAAUAAAUUGUAUAGAUUUAUAUA